Molecule: unclassified non-coding RNA, 226 nt
Filed under: uncultured fungus
Lineage: Eukaryota; Fungi
Description: sequence contains ITS1, 5.8S rRNA gene
Rfam family: 5.8S ribosomal RNA (bases 178-226)
Source: RNAcentral
UUUCCGUAGGUGAACCUGCGGAGGGAUCAUUACCAGAGAUGGCGGGCCCCCGCGCCCCCGUCCCCAACCCUUUGUUGACCUGACCACUUUUGCCUCGGGGGUGGAGCGGCCUCCGCCGCCCCCGGUGGACCAACCAACUCUGUCUCUUUGCGUCGGAGUCUUUGAUGAAUAUAUGAAAACUUUUAACAACGGAUCUCUUGGUUCUGGCAUCGAUGAAGAACGCAGC